RNAcentral lists this ribosomal RNA (380 nucleotides) under uncultured eukaryote. RNAcentral describes it as "partial 18S ribosomal RNA". It matches the Rfam family "Eukaryotic small subunit ribosomal RNA", at positions 592 to 976 of the family's 1831-position model. The record is from RNAcentral.
CAAUAGCGUAUAUUAAAGUUGUUGCGGUUAAAAAGUUCGUAGUUGGAUUUCUGCCAAGGACGACCGGUCCGCCCUCUGGGUGAGUAUCUGGCUUGGCCUGGGCAUCUUCUUGGAGAACGUUGCUGCACUUCGCUGUGUGGCGCGGUAUCCAGGACCUUUACUUUGAGGAAAUUAGAGUGUUUCAAGCAGGCUUUCGCCUUGAAUACAUUAGCAUGGAAUAAUAAGAUAGGACCUCGGUUCUAUUUUGUUGGUUUCUAGAGCUGGGGUAAUGAUUAAUAGGGAUAGUUGGGGGCAUUCGUAUUUAACUGUCAGAGGUGAAAUUCUUGGAUUUGCUAAAGACGGACUACUGCGAAAGCAUUUGCCAAGGAUGUUUUCAUUGA